UACGUAGGGUGCGAGCGUUAAUCGGAAUUACUGGGCGUAAAGCGUGCGCAGGCGGUUCGUUGUGUCGGUGGUGAAAUCCCCGGGCUUAACCUGGGAAUGGCCAUGGAAACUGGCGAACUGGAGUGUGGCAGAGGGGGGUGGAAUUCCGCGUGUAGCAGUGAAGUGCGUAGAGAUGCGGAGGAACACCGAUGGCGAAGGCAGCCCCCUGGGCUAGCACUGACGCUCAGGCACGAAAGCGUGGGGAGCAAACAGG
This 253-nucleotide ribosomal RNA is filed under the name uncultured bacterium. Its description in RNAcentral is "partial 16S ribosomal RNA". It matches the Rfam family "Bacterial small subunit ribosomal RNA", at positions 524 to 776 of the family's 1533-position model. The record is from RNAcentral.